Molecule: ribosomal RNA, 663 nt
Filed under: Fusarium oxysporum f. sp. vasinfectum
Lineage: Eukaryota; Fungi; Ascomycota; Sordariomycetes; Hypocreales; Nectriaceae
Description: SSU rRNA
Rfam family: Bacterial small subunit ribosomal RNA
Source: RNAcentral
GCCUAACGGCUGAACUGGCAACUUGGAGAAGUGGCAAGUCUUCCAGUAUGGGGAGCAAAACAGCUAUGGGUCAAGUCCGAUAUCUUUAGGAGAAGUCUUAUUGUGAGGGCGAGUUAUAUAACACCAUAGGACUGGCCGUCCCAUAUGAAAAGAUUAUAUUAGAAUUGAAUGAAGCUUUGUUUAUAUAUUGAUAAUGACAGUAUAUAUAUCGUGUCUUGACUAAUUGCGUGCCAGCAGUCGCGGUAAUACGUAAGAGACUAGUGUUAUUCAUCUUAAUUAGGUUUAAAGGGUACCCAGACGGUCAAUAUAGCUUAUAAAAUGUUAGUACUUGACUAGAGUUUUAUGUAAGAGGGCAGUACUUGAGGAGGAGAGAUGAAAUUUCGUGAUACCAAAGGGACUCUGUAAAGGCGAAGGCAGCCCUCUAUGUAAAAACUGACGUUGAAGGACGAAGGCACAGAGAACAAACAGGAUUAGAUACCCAAGUAGUCUUUGCAGUAAAUGAUGAAUGCCAUAGGUUAGAUUGAUCAAUUAUAGUCUAGGGUUAGUCUAGCAAACUAAUGCCCUAUGAUAUAAUUCAAAAUAUCUGGUCUAUAAAUGAAAGUGUAAGCAUUUCACCUCAAGAGUAAUGUGGCAACGCAGGAACUGAAAUCACUAGACCGUUUC